CUAGAAGUAGCUUAAGUUAAAGUUUAGGAUUCUUGAUUCUGCGAUGUUUGUGAUAAACUUUCUAGA
Molecule: transfer RNA, 66 nt
Filed under: Morishitium polonicum
Lineage: Eukaryota; Metazoa; Platyhelminthes; Trematoda; Plagiorchiida; Cyclocoelidae
Description: tRNA-Lys
Rfam family: tRNA
About the family: Transfer RNA (tRNA) molecules are approximately 80 nucleotides in length.
Source: RNAcentral